GACGAACGCUGGCGGCGUGCUUAACACAUGCAAGUCGAACGGAAAGGCCCUGCUUUUGUGGGGUGUUCGAGUGGCGAACGGGUGAGUAACACGUGAGUAACCUGCCCUUGACUUUGGGAUAACUUCAGGAAACUGGGGCUAAUACCGGAUAGGAGCUCCUGCUGCAUGGUGGGGGUUGGAAAGUUUCGGCGGUUGGGGAUGGACUCGCGGCUUAUCAGCUUGUUGGUGGGGUAGUGGCUUACCAAGGCUUUGACGGGUAGCCGGCCUGGGAGGGUGACCGGCCACAUUGGGACUGAGAUACGGCCCAGACUCCUACGGGAGGCAGCAGUGGGGAAUAUUGCACAAUGGGCGGAAGCCUGAUGCAGCAACGCCGCGUGCGGGAUGACGGCCUUCGGGUUGUAAACCGCUUUCGCCUGUGACGAAGCGUGAGUGACGGUAAUGGGUAAAGAAGCACCGGCUAACUACGUG
Molecule: ribosomal RNA, 468 nt
Filed under: uncultured bacterium
Lineage: Bacteria
Description: partial 16S ribosomal RNA
Rfam family: Bacterial small subunit ribosomal RNA
Source: RNAcentral